Molecule: non-coding RNA, 52 nt
Filed under: bovine gut metagenome
Also listed under: 1 other name
Source: RNAcentral
AACAGAGGAUGGAUUUGACUGCUUGCAACCUCGUUAAAACAAUGCUAAAACU